This 425-nucleotide ribosomal RNA is filed under the name uncultured bacterium. Its description in RNAcentral is "partial 16S ribosomal RNA". It matches the Rfam family "Bacterial small subunit ribosomal RNA", at positions 354 to 796 of the family's 1533-position model. The record is from RNAcentral.
GUGGGGAAUCUUGCGCAAUGGGCGAAAGCCUGACGCAGCCAUGCCGCGUGAAUGAUGAAGGUCUUAGGAUUGUAAAAUUCUUUCACCGGGGACGAUAAUGACGGUACCCGGAGAAGAAGCUCCGGCUAACUUCGUGCCAGCAGCCGCGGUAAUACGAAGGGGGCUAGCGUUGCUCGGAAUUACUGGGCGUAAAGGGCGCGUAGGCGGACAGCUUAGUCAGAGGUGAAAGCCCAGGGCUCAACCUUGGAAUUGCCUUUGAUACUGGCUAUCUUGAGUAUGGAAGAGGUAUGUGGAACUCCGAGUGUAGAGGUGAAAUUCGUAGAUAUUCGGAAGAACACCAGUGGCGAAGGCGACAUACUGGUCCAUUACUGACGCUGAGGCUCGAAAGCGUGGGGAGCAAACAGGAUUAGAUACCCGGGUAGUCC